UGCCCGGAAUAAAAAGAGGCUCUAAAGUAGUAAUAAGGGCAGCCAGCGACCGCUGUCCACCCAACUCCACAGGAUUGAGCAGGGUCGCCCAGCCCGUGGAGGUCCACAGCCUUGGGUCUCAGCCUGGUUCCAGGCGGAUGCCUGCGUCCCUCGGUGUGGAAUGACCGUGUACCCCCGUCCCUCGCACGGCCGAGGAAACAGGCUCUCGAGGGAUCAUCUCGGUGGACAGCAAGCCCUGCGGCCGUCAGAGGUCCGCAUCCCAGACGCGCGCCCUGCGGGGCGUGAAGCCGGGGGAUUCCUCAAGGCGGCGGAUAGGCUCCGGGGAGCCGAGGGGUGGGCGUCGGCGCGGAGCCAGCAGGCCGGGCCCGCUGGACCCACGCCCUGAACCGCCAGCAGCCCGAGUCCCGGCAGGCGCGCGAGGCGGACGGGCCAGAAAACUCGGGGGUCCAGUGUCUAGUGGGCCGCUUUGGGCUUGCGCCCGCUCUCUGCCUGCAGUGCAGCCCCGCAUUGGUCAGCCCGGCGCCCCGCCCGGCUCCCGCGCGCCGAUUGGCCGCGGAUGCCCAACCCCCGGUGAGGGCGCUGAGGCGGAGAGUGGGAUUGGUGGUCCCGUCGUCCACGGGUCGGGGUCGCGGCCGCGCGCUCCGCCCGCCGCUGCGUCCCCACUAUGGCGGCGCCCAGGCGGCCCACCGCGACUUGGGCGCCCGCCGGGGUCCCCCGCGGCUGCCGCCGCCGCAUUCGCCGUCGCCCCCGCCUUCCCGGCAGCAUCGGGCCGGGCACCGCCUCCCCCCUUCCUCCCUCUCCGCUGCGGUUCCGCCUGGUCAUCCUGGUUGACAGAAGUUCCUUCCCUGUGAACUUCUGCACAACUUAUGUUAUUCUGAUUAAAUGUUACCUACUGCCUUGUCUUAUCAUUAUUAUGUCUAUAUGUCAGUAAAUUCCCCUUUUCCUUGAUGUUAGUUUUCUUUACAAAAUAAUGGAAAGAUGGCAUGUUUAUGUGUUUUUGACAUGACUUAAAACCCACAGAAACCUUG
Molecule: long non-coding RNA, 1028 nt
Filed under: Balaenoptera musculus (blue whale)
Lineage: Eukaryota; Metazoa; Chordata; Mammalia; Artiodactyla; Balaenopteridae
Description: lncRNA (ENSBMSG00010011430.1)
Source: RNAcentral